This 73-nucleotide transfer RNA is filed under the name Fasciola gigantica. It matches the Rfam family "tRNA". Rfam says of the family: Transfer RNA (tRNA) molecules are approximately 80 nucleotides in length. Their secondary structure includes four short double-helical elements and three loops (D, anti-codon, and T loops). Further hydrogen bonds mediate the characteristic L-shaped molecular structure. tRNAs have two regions of fundamental functional importance: the anti-codon, which is responsible for specific mRNA codon recognition, and the 3' end, to which the tRNAs corresponding amino acid is attached (by aminoacyl-tRNA synthetases). tRNAs cope with the degeneracy of the genetic code in two manners: having more than one tRNA (with a specific anti-codon) for a particular amino acid; and 'wobble' base-pairing, i.e. permitting non-standard base-pairing at the 3rd anti-codon position. The record is from Rfam by way of RNAcentral. Lineage: Eukaryota; Metazoa; Platyhelminthes; Trematoda; Plagiorchiida; Fasciolidae.
ACCGCAAUAGCUCAGCUGGUAGAGCAUCUGCCCGGUGUGCGGAGGAUCGCUGGUUCAACUCCGGCUCGCGGCG